AGUGAACGCUGGCGGUAGGCCUAACACAUGCAAGUCGAACGGCAGCACAGUAAGAGCUUGCUCUUACGGGUGGCGAGUGGCGGACGGGUGAGGAAUACAUCGGAAUCUACUUUUUCGUGGGUGAGAACGUAGGGAAACUUACGCUAAUACCUCAUACGACCUACGGGUGAAAGCAGGGGAUCUCCGGACCUUGCGCGAUUGAAUGAGCCGAUGUCGGAUUAGCUAGUUGGCGGGGUAAAGGCCCACCAAGGCGACGAUCCGUAGCUGGUCUGAGAGGAUGAUCAGCCACACUGGAACUGAGACACGGUCCAGACUCCUACGGGAGGCAGCAGUGGGGAAUAUUGGACAAUGGGCGCAAGCCUGAUCCAGCCAUGCCGCGUGGGUGAAGAAGGCCUUCGGGUUGUAAAGCCCUUUUGUUGGGAAAGAAAAGAAGCAGGUUAAUACCCCGCUGUUCUGACGGUACCCAAAGAAUAAGCACCGGCUAACUUCGUG
Molecule: ribosomal RNA, 492 nt
Filed under: uncultured bacterium
Lineage: Bacteria
Description: partial 16S ribosomal RNA
Rfam family: Bacterial small subunit ribosomal RNA
Source: RNAcentral